UCCAGUGGCAGUAAGCUGUCCAGGGCAGUACCAUGCCCCUGACAGUGUUACGCUGCUGGGAGAUAAAAUACUGGCCAUUUCAUCUGUCUGUCAUCACACUUCUGAAGGCAGCUGCCACCAGUGUGGAACAUGUUGUGCUUCCCUGAGUGUGCACUAAGCAUUUGCCUUCACUUUUUAAUGCUAGUCUGGAACCAUGCAUG
Small nucleolar RNA from Mauremys reevesii (Reeves's turtle), 200 nucleotides. RefSeq annotates it as small nucleolar RNA SNORA74. The record is from RefSeq and is a predicted model, not a curated record. Lineage: Eukaryota; Metazoa; Chordata; Testudines; Geoemydidae. The transcript has a single exon.